This 508-nucleotide ribosomal RNA is filed under the name uncultured bacterium. Its description in RNAcentral is "bacterial SSU rRNA". It matches the Rfam family "Bacterial small subunit ribosomal RNA", at positions 774 to 1276 of the family's 1533-position model. The record is from RNAcentral.
AGUGAAUAGAUACCCUGGUAGUCCACGCCGUAAACGAUGGAAGCUAGCCGUUGGCAAGUUUACUUGUCGGUGGCGCAGCUAAACGCAUUAAGCUUCCCGCCUGGGGAGUACGGUCGCAAGAUUAAAACUCAAAGGAAUUGACGGGGCCCGCACAAGCGGUGGAGCAUGUGGUUUAAAUUCGAAGCAACGCGCAGAACCUUACCAGCCCUUCGACAUCCCGGUCGCGGUUACGAGAGAUCGUUUCCUUCAGUUCGGCUGGACCGGAGACAGGUGCUGCAUGGCUGUCGUCAGCUCGUGUCGUGAGAUGUUGGGUUAAGUCCCGCAACGAGCGCAACCCUCGCCCUUAGUUGCCAUCAUUCAGUUGGGCACUCUAAGGGGACUGCCGGUGAUAAGCCGAGAGGAAGGUGGGGAUGACGUCAAGUCCUCAUGGCCCUUACGGGCUGGGCUACACACGUGCUACAAUGGUGGUGACAGUGGGCAGCGAGACCGCGAGGUCGAGCUAAUCUCC